RNAcentral lists this ribosomal RNA (335 nucleotides) under Globigerinoides ruber albus. RNAcentral describes it as "SSU rRNA". Lineage: Eukaryota; Foraminifera; Rotaliida; Globigerinidae. The record is from RNAcentral.
UAAUGGGUCUUUCAUGAUUAUAUGAUAGGUGGUGCAUGGCCGUUCUUAGUUCGUGGAGUGAUCUGUCUGCUUAAUUGCGUUUCAAAUUUUUAACCGAGGACCGGGUUUUGGUUUGGCUAGUGGUCCUACGAUGACUGUGAACUGUCAUGUCUUCGGAUGUACGACUAUCGGUCUAGGAUCACAUGACUUGCCCCUGGGACUCUUUUGAACGCAACGGACGUGAUUGCAACCCCUUGUUGAGAUUAGAGAUAGUCUCGAUAUUCACUGGCCAAACUGGCUGCUUUAUGCAGUCUUGUUGAAUGGUGGAUAAACUCGGGGGACUGCUGACUAUAACC